This 145-nucleotide unclassified non-coding RNA is filed under the name soil metagenome. RNAcentral's name for it is "partial internal transcribed spacer 1". The record is from RNAcentral.
UAAUAAGUGUUUUAUGGCACUUUUUUAAAUCCAUAUCCACCUUGUGUGCAAUGUCAGUCGAUCUUCUUUAUGGAGACUGGCCAAACAUCAACCAUAUCUUUUAACUCUUUGUCUGAAAAAUAUUAUGAAUAAACAAUUCAAAAUA